GGAGGGGAGGCAACUCUUGGAAAGGGCAGAUAACAGCAGGACGGGGGGAAAUGGUGUGAAGUUGAGGGAGGGCAGACUGAGGUUGGAUGUGAGGGGGAAGUUGUUUGCUAUGAGAGUGGGGAGGUGCUGGAACAGCUGCCCAGAGAGGCUGUGGAUGCCCCGUCCAUCCCUGGAGGUGUUCAAGGCCAGGUUGGAUGGGGCCCUGGGCAGCCUGGGCUGGUAUGAAAUGGGGAGGUUGGUGGCCCUGUGUGUGGUGGGGGGUUGGAGCUCCACGAUCCUUGAG
Molecule: long non-coding RNA, 283 nt
Filed under: Gallus gallus (chicken)
Lineage: Eukaryota; Metazoa; Chordata; Aves; Galliformes; Phasianidae
Source: RNAcentral